This 500-nucleotide ribosomal RNA is filed under the name uncultured bacterium. Its description in RNAcentral is "bacterial SSU rRNA". It matches the Rfam family "Bacterial small subunit ribosomal RNA", at positions 30 to 518 of the family's 1533-position model. The record is from RNAcentral.
UGAACGCUAGCGGCAGGCUUAACACAUGCAAGUCGAGGGGGCAGCAUAGUAUGUAGCAAUACAUAUUGAUGGCGACCGGCGGAUGGGUGCGUAACGCGUAUGCAACCUACCUUUACAGGAGGAUAACCUUUCGAAAGGGAGACUAAUACUCCAUAGUAUUAUUUAGAGGCAUCUUUAGAUAAUUAAAUAUUUAUAGGUAAAAGCUGGGCAUGCGUAUGAUUAGUUAGUUGGUAAGGUAACGGCUUACCAAGGCGAUGAUCAUUAGGGGUUCUGAGAGGAAGGUCCCCCACACUGGUACUGAGACACGGACCAGACUCCUACGGGAGGCAGCAGUGAGGAAUAUUGGUCAAUGGGCGGAAGCCUGAACCAGCCAUGCCGCGUGCAGGAAGACGGCCUUAUUGGGUUGUAAACUGCUUUUAUGUGAGGAUAAUAUUCAUCUUGCGAGGUGGAAUGAAGGUAUCACAUGAAUAAGGAUCGGCUAACUCCGUGCCAGCAGCUGC